AGGGCCGAGACGGGAGGAGGGCACCCACCUGGUCGGUGUCACAUGCUGCUUCGGCCCCAGCGUCCCCUCCAGGUCCCGGCGCCGGCCGCAGUCCCCAGAGCCGUCCCCAGCGCAGGCCCGGCCGCCCCACCCGCGGCCCGCCCCUGGCCGCCCGACGGGAGGGAGGGAUCGGGUUCUCCUAGGAAGUUUCAGUAUGCAUUCUUAGAAACCAGAUAUACAAAGACAAGAUCUCUGCUUUCAAGAAGCUCUCAAUCUGAUUGAGGAGAGAAACAGGUAGCAAAUAAUGACAGCAGAGCAUGGUCAUUCAACAUUUAUUCAACCAAAAAUACUAAGUCAGCUCUAUACAAACUAAUGGAAGGAUACAGCUAUGCAAAUACAGAAGAACACUAAACUGUUACAUGACAGAUGUAUGAGAACUGGGAAGAAAGGACCCUGAAAAGUUAGCUUGUUCCAAGUGACCCUCCAAGGGGAAGAGUGCUGGAUUCAGAGCCCACCUCAGGGGAAGACAGGACGCUCUCCAAGAUGGUUUCCCUAGAAGCUACUACCUCUCCCUGGAGGGUGGAGAUAUUUGCUGGUCAAAG
This 581-nucleotide non-coding RNA is filed under the name Pan troglodytes (chimpanzee). Lineage: Eukaryota; Metazoa; Chordata; Mammalia; Primates; Hominidae. The record is from RNAcentral.